Molecule: long non-coding RNA, 729 nt
Organism: Spinacia oleracea (spinach)
Lineage: Eukaryota; Viridiplantae; Streptophyta; Magnoliopsida; Caryophyllales; Amaranthaceae
Exons: 3
Source: RefSeq, a predicted model, not a curated record
UUAAAAGCUUCAUGAACCGCUGUUUUUUUUUGUUUCCCUCAAUGACUCAAUCCCUUCUUCCCAACCCUUCUGUUUCACCCCAAACCCUUUUUCUCUUUCAUCUGCUUCGGGUCUUCUUCUCUCUGCUUCCUUCUUGUCUAUCAUAUUCAUCAUCGUUUUUGAAGCAAAUGCGAAUUGGAGAUUGGCGUUUCUUAAUUGGAAAUUGGGUGUAUGAAUUGGAGAUAAGGAGAAAUUGACAAUUAGCGUUUCUGAAUUGGCGAGAAGAACAAGAAGAAGAGUGAUGCCGCAGAAAAGUCUACAGCGGGACUUCAAUAUCAUCAAAAGCAUGCUCGUAGAGGAUAUGCUCGACUUGAGAAAGAUGUGAUCACAAUUUACAUCUAUGUGUCAUCAAUUGGCCGAGCGCAACUGUGGAAUUUUAAUAAAGAACCGACUGAAGGAAAUAAUACCCUUGGUCCAAGUAUGCAUUUAAUGGUAAGUCUAAUAAAUGCGGUUUAGUAUUAAUUAUACAAGUUAAAUAAUUCAGUGAGAUCAAGUGAACCGUAUGCCUAGCUAGAGGCCGCUUCAGUUCAAGUGGAUUAAUGAUAUUAAUCCACAUCUUACUCUUGACUGAACUCGUAGGGUCACACAAACAGUACGUAAACGGAUCAAGUAUUUAAUGGAAUUAAAUACUCCAUCUAUGGAUAUUCGGAAUCGACGGACCUUGGUUUCAGUGGGAGCUGAGAUCGUCAC